GACGAACGCUGGCGGCGUGCUUAACACAUGCAAGUCGAACGGACAGGCCCUGCUUUUGUGGGGUGCUCGAGUGGCGAACGGGUGAGUAACACGUGAGUAACCUGCCCUUGACUUUGGGAUAACUUCAGGAAACUGGGGCUAAUACCGGAUAGGAGCUCCUGCUGCGUGUUGGGGGUUGGAAAGUGUCGGCGGUUGGGGCUGGACUCGCGGCUUAUGCGCUUGUUGGUGGAGUAGUGGAUUACCAAGGCUUUGACGGGUAGCCGGCAUGAGAGGGUGACCGGCCACAAUGGGCCUGAGAGACGGCGCAGACUCCUACGGGAGGCAGUAGUGGGGAAUAUUGCACAAUGGGCGGAAGCCUGAUGCAGAAACGCCGCGUGCGGGAUGACGGCCUUCGGGUUGUAAACCGCUUUCGCCGGUGACGAAGCGUGAGUGACGGUAAUGGGUAAAGAAGCACCGGCUAACUACGUG
This 468-nucleotide ribosomal RNA is filed under the name uncultured bacterium. RNAcentral describes it as "partial 16S ribosomal RNA". It matches the Rfam family "Bacterial small subunit ribosomal RNA", at positions 28 to 507 of the family's 1533-position model. The record is from RNAcentral.